Molecule: long non-coding RNA, 187 nt
Organism: Entelurus aequoreus (snake pipefish)
Lineage: Eukaryota; Metazoa; Chordata; Actinopteri; Syngnathiformes; Syngnathidae
Exons: 4
Source: RefSeq, a predicted model, not a curated record
GCCAAGAUCAUCAUUUCUGGACUUUCUUUGCUGGAACACGAACUGCCGCCUCCCAGAAUGCUUUGCAUGGGGACGUGCGUCUGACGUCACGUAUCCAGAAAAUUCGAAAUGGCUGCACACGAAUUUGAAAGUUUCCCGCGUGAAGCCGUGGAGCUCGAGAUCCUGUUUACUGUGGACUAGCUGUGUG